RNA transcript from Biomphalaria glabrata, 1173 nucleotides. RefSeq lists it as uncharacterized. The record is from RefSeq and is a predicted model, not a curated record. NCBI's taxonomy places the organism in Eukaryota, Metazoa, Mollusca, Gastropoda, Planorbidae. The transcript has 5 exons.
GUUUUCGAAAAAGCAUGGAAGAUGCAUUAUGGGAGAGGGGAGAGAAAGCACGAAUGCUCAGCAAUCGUUUGAAAAAUGUUGACAACUCUUCGACGUUUGCCUUUCAUUUAAAAGAAAGGGGGAAAAAAAAAGCCAGUCGAAUGUUGUAAUCUAUUCUGAGAUUCGUGAGUGUGUGUUGCUAAAUGAUUUAAUGAUCAGCCUUUCUCUGUGUUCUUCGCGGAGCUAACAUAUGUUUGUUUACAUCAUCACUGGCGGUUUUAUAAGCUUUUGUGGAAAAUUAUUUUUUUAAACAACAAUGUGUAUCACUGCUACCCUUGAACCAUAAGAGUCGAAAGAAGCCAUGCAUACGAUCUCUGCAAAUGUCAACAUCGUCAGAGCCCAUAAUGUCAAGAGGGUAAACAGACACUGAUUAGAAAUGAGAUAUCAUUUAUAAUAUCACCAUAGCAACGCUAACACUAAAGGCAAUUUUAUCAAGAUAGAGAGCUAGGAUGGGAGGCAACCUCUUGAGAGCGUUCUUCUGGGUCUGGCUGCAGCAACUUGCGGCCCACAACAUUAUGUCCCAUUCAGUAAUGUACAACACAAGUUUGAGUUGCCUUACAUGUUAUAAUGGGCAACCAUCUGUCGACUGUGUAACGUUUGUGAACGCCAGUGAAAUUCCUGUUGAGAUAUGUGGUCAGCAUCAACCAUUUUGUAAAGUACGUAGACUGCACACGGAGGACAAACUGACCAGCUUGGAGCGUGGAUGUGAUGACCAGUGCACGCCAGGCUGCACGGACACUGGCCUGUAUUUGGAGUGUUUUUCCUGCUGUUCGGAGUCGUUGUGUAACGCUGACAAUCUUGCGAAAUCAAUUCAUAACGCAGAACUGUUCAUUCCAUGGACUAUACAGAAACUAAUUGUGUCAGUAGUCUUCAUAAUUAAGUACAUUUGAAAUUGCCUUUGGAAUGGGACUACAGAUGCGAAUGAAAAUAUACACUUGAAUAUUAUUGAUUAAUGAAGCUAUUUAUGCAAUAUAUGUCAGGCAUGAUGACGUUUUUUCGCCUUCAUGAGUUGCUGUCGAUUACAAUUUAAAUUGUUUUUUUCUUCAUCUUAGUUUAUUUUUAUGCCAUAUAGUCCGAUUACUAGUUUAUUUUUAUGCCAUAUAGUCCGAUUACUAGUUUAUUUUUAUGCCAUAU